GACGAACGCUGGCGGCGUGCCUAAUACAUGCAAGUAGAACGCACAGUUUAUACCGUAGCUUGCUACACCAUAAACUGUGAGUUGCGAACGGGUGAGUAACGCGUAGGUAACCUGCCUGGUAGCGGGGGAUAACUAUUGGAAACGAUAGCUAAUACCGCAUAAUAUUGAUUAUUGCAUGAUAAUUGAUUGAAAGAUGCUAUUGCAUCACUACCAGAUGGACCUGCGUUGUAUUAGCUAGUAGGUGAGGUAACGGCUCACCUAGGCGACGAUACAUAGCCGACCUGAGAGGGUGAUCGGCCACACUGGGACUGAGACACGGCCCAGACUCCUACGGGAGGCAGCAGUAGGGAAUCUGCGGCAAUGGACGAAAGUCUGACCGAGCAACGCCGCGUGAGUGAAGAAGGUUUUCGGAUCGUAAAGCUCUGUUGUAAGAGAAGAACGGGUGUGAGAGUGGAAAGUUCACACUGUGACGGUAUCUUACCAGAAAGGGACGGCUAACUACGUG
RNAcentral lists this ribosomal RNA (505 nucleotides) under uncultured bacterium. RNAcentral's name for it is "partial 16S ribosomal RNA". It matches the Rfam family "Bacterial small subunit ribosomal RNA", at positions 28 to 507 of the family's 1533-position model. The record is from RNAcentral.